Molecule: RNA transcript, 1352 nt
Organism: Adelges cooleyi (spruce gall adelgid)
Lineage: Eukaryota; Metazoa; Arthropoda; Insecta; Hemiptera; Adelgidae
Exons: 9
Source: RefSeq, a predicted model, not a curated record
UUAUCAAUAAAAAUCCAAACGCUUAUUACAGCUGCUAUAGUAUAAAAUUAUAUUAUAUUGUAUUAUUUUGAAAACUAAAAUGAUUCGUAUUUUUUUGUUUUUGGGGUUGGCAAUCACACGCAAUGUUGUCUAUUCCGAGAAUAUCUAUAAAGCCUACAAUAAUACAAACGGAUUAGAUUGGUGGCAAACCGGUAUCAUCUAUCAGGUUUAUAUGAGAUCAUUUAAAGAUACCAACCGUGAUGGCAUUGGUGAUUUAAACGGAGUAACUCAAAAAGUAAACUACUUAAAAGAUUUAGGCAUUGGUGCCAUUUGGCUUUCUCCGAUAUUCGAAUCACCACAGUUUGACUUUGGUUAUGACAUAUCAAAUUUUAAGCAAACUGAAAAAGUCUUUGAAACUUUAGCAGAUUUUGAUCGCUUACUUAAUACAUACCAUAACGCCGGAAUAAAAGUUUUGUUGGAUUUUGUGCCAAAUCACUCGAGUCAUUUGCAUGAAUGGUUUUUGAAAUCUGUGAAAAAAAUUCCACCAUUCACAGACUACUAUGUUUGGGAAGAUCCAGUUUACACAAAAGAAGGAAAACAACCUCCUAAUAAUUGGGUCGACAAAAUAUAAGCCAUUCGAUCAGUCGUAGAAAAACCAUUAAAGAAGCCAGUAUAACUAUCAUUGCAAUUAUUUAACAAAAAUGGGAGUGAUUUAUGUGUUACUCCUGUGUACUAUUCUUAAUGUUUUGGCAACUAAAGAUUUAGAUUUCUUUCGAUCGGAGCUUGAAAAUACAAACAUACUCAUUGGCGCACAUAUUAACGCCAGUAAGACAUACUUAAAAUUAUUAAUACUAUACAUUUAAUGGUUUUGUUGUACUUGCCAUUUGCCUGACUAUAAGAGCUCUUAUCCGAGAUUCAACUGCAAAAAAUAUUACUCGAAACUUCAGACCUGGAUACCUACAACAAGGGUUUUGAACACACAUGUCGACUCUUAGGAUUGUUCAUGAGUAUGGAAACUACAGUACCAUACGCAACAAGUGCUGAUGUUACACCCCCGCCCGACAGCACUUGUGUCAUACGUCAUGGAAGUGUUGUCUUGCAGUCAUUCAAACAAUUUAUCCAUUUUAUACGUUUUGUAAAUAACGAAAACCAUGGUGAAAAAGGGCAGAGCAUAUUGGCAUUUCUACAAAAUUAUUAGUAUAUUAGCACACUAAUUACAAUAAUUUGUAUUGGCUUAAUAUACAGGCCAUUUAGGUCCUUUUUCGAGACCACUACUCCUCUCCAUCCAUCCCAUCCGUCGACAUUGCUUCACCGUUAUUUAAUAUUAGUAAUUUUAAUUCCUUACUUUUUUCUUAAUACAGAAGAUGAAACUU